AGACCGUAUGAAGGAAUGCAUGGUGAAAUGUCAAUAUCCAGAAGUUCGCAAGUACUGCUACGGUUACUAUUGUAAUUCGUACGUCACGGUUAGAUACAUGUACCAACAUGCACUAGACUACAUGUACUGUGGUGACAAGAAGGUUUGCGUACGAGGCGUGUGCAGGGGCAGCGGGGGCAGCUUGCCGCAAAGGCCGGUCACCAGGAGCACAACAACGACAACAACAACAAGGACAACACCAGCUGCUGAGGACACCACUGAAUGUCGUUGCGACUGCAGCUCUACGCAGCCAACCAGUCGGUCUCAUUAUCCACCGCGACCUUCAACUCCAACGAGGAUCAAUGGCUGGCGCCGUAUCAUACGUAGACAAUAAAUGUGUCUUCUCGUUUAA
Rhipicephalus sanguineus (brown dog tick) is the source of this 391-nucleotide long non-coding RNA. RefSeq lists it as uncharacterized. NCBI's taxonomy places the organism in Eukaryota, Metazoa, Arthropoda, Arachnida, Ixodida, Ixodidae. The record is from RefSeq and is a predicted model, not a curated record. The transcript has 2 exons.